GACAGAGGUGCCGAGCGUUAGGCGGAAUCACUGGGCUUAAAGCGUGUGUAGGCGGGUGCCUAAGUACCUUGUGAAAUCCCACGGCUCAACCGUGGAACGGCUCGGUAUACUGGUUGUCUUGAGCCAGCUAGGGGCGAGCGGAACAGACGGUGGAGCGGUGAAAUGCGUAGAUAUCGUCUGGAACGCCGAAGGUGAAAACAGCUCGCUGGGGCUGCGCUGACGCUGAGACACGAAAGCCAGGGGAGCGAACGGG
Molecule: ribosomal RNA, 253 nt
Filed under: uncultured bacterium
Lineage: Bacteria
Description: partial 16S ribosomal RNA
Rfam family: Bacterial small subunit ribosomal RNA
Source: RNAcentral